Molecule: ribosomal RNA, 316 nt
Filed under: uncultured Parabacteroides sp.
Lineage: Bacteria; Pseudomonadati; Bacteroidota; Bacteroidia; Bacteroidales; Tannerellaceae
Description: bacterial SSU rRNA
Rfam family: Bacterial small subunit ribosomal RNA
Source: RNAcentral
UGAGGAAUAUUGGUCAAUGGGCGUAGCCUGAACCAGCCAAGUCGCGUGAGGGACGACGGCCCUACGGGUUGUAAACCUCUUUUACAAGGGAAUAAAGAUGGGGUCGAGACCCCAGUUGCAUGUACCUUGUGAAUAAGCAUCGGCUAACUCCGUGCCAGCAGCCGCGGUAAUACGGAGGAUGCGAGCGUUAUCCGGGAUUCAUUGGGUUUAAAGGGUGCGUAGGUGGCCGAUUAAGUCAGCGGUGAAAGUCAGUGGCUCAACCAUUGAACUGCCGUUGAAACUGGUUGGCUUGAGUACGUACGGGGCAGGCGGAAUG